RNAcentral lists this ribosomal RNA (469 nucleotides) under uncultured beta proteobacterium. RNAcentral's name for it is "bacterial SSU rRNA". It matches the Rfam family "Bacterial small subunit ribosomal RNA", at positions 12 to 489 of the family's 1533-position model. Lineage: Bacteria; Pseudomonadati; Pseudomonadota; Betaproteobacteria. The record is from RNAcentral.
UUUGAUCCUGGCUCAGAUUGAACGCUGGCGGCAUGCUUUACACAUGCAAGUCGAACGGCAGCACGGGGGCAACCCUGGUGGCGAGUGGCGAACGGGUGAGUAAUAUAUCGGAACGUGUCCUGUAAUGGGGGAUAACGCAGCGAAAGUUGUGCUAAUACCGCAUACGAUCUACGGAUGAAAGCGGGGGACCGCAAGGCCUCGCGUUAUAGGAGCGGCCGAUAUCGGAUUAGCUAGUUGGCGGGGUAAAGGCCCACCAAGGCGACGAUCCGUAGCUGGUCUGAGAGGAUGAUCAGCCACACUGGGACUGAGACACGGCCCAGACUCCUACGGGAGGCANCAGUGGGAAAUUUUGGACAAUGGGGGCAACCCUGGUCCAGCCAUGCCGCGUGACUGAAGAAUGGCUUCAGGUUGUAUAAUCUUUCCCUACGAAAGAACCGAAUCCUCUAAUCCCCCGAACCAUAGAUAAGUC